RNAcentral lists this unclassified non-coding RNA (346 nucleotides) under soil metagenome. RNAcentral's name for it is "partial contains 5.8S ribosomal RNA, internal transcribed spacer 2, and large subunit ribosomal RNA". The stretch from base 1 to 121 matches the Rfam family "5.8S ribosomal RNA", at positions 35 to 154 of the family's 154-position model. The record is from RNAcentral.
GAUGAAGAACGUAGCGAAAUGCGAUAAGUAAUGCGAAUUGCAGAAUUUCCGUGAGUCAUCGAAUCUUUGAACGCACGUUGCGCCCACUGGUAUUCCGGUGGGCAUGCCUGUUCGAGCGUCAUUAUCCUCCCUCAAACCCCGGGUUUGGUGUUGGACCGAAGUUGUGUGAACAACUGGUCUAAAAAACAAUGACGGCGUCCGUGGGACCCUCGGUGCAACGAGCUUUUAGGAGCACGCGCCGAGUUGCAAGGACCUUCCGGGCCGGUCUCCUUUUACUAUUUUACAAGGUUGACCUCGGAUCAGGUAGGAAUACCCGCUGAACUUAAGCAUAUCAAUAAGCGGAGGA